This 418-nucleotide ribosomal RNA is filed under the name uncultured bacterium. Its description in RNAcentral is "bacterial SSU rRNA". It matches the Rfam family "Bacterial small subunit ribosomal RNA", at positions 355 to 765 of the family's 1533-position model. The record is from RNAcentral.
UGGGGAAUAUUGGACAAUGGGGGCAACCCUGAUCCAGCCAUGCCGCGUGUGUGAAGAAGGCCUUUUGGUUGUAAAGCACUUUAAGCAGCGAAGAAGACUCCAUGGUUAAUACCCGUGGACGAUGACAUUAGCUGCAGAAUAAGCACCGGCUAACUCUGUGCCUGCAGCCGCGGUAAUACAGAGGGUGCAAGCGUUAAUCGGAAUUACUGGGCGUAAAGCGAGCGUAGGUGGCUUGAUAAGUCAGAUGUGAAAGCCCCGGGCUUAACCUGGGAACGGCAUCUGAUACUGUUAGGCUAGAGUAGGUGAGAGGAAGGUAGAAUUCCAGGUGUAGCGGUGAAAUGCGUAGAGAUCUGGAGGAAUACCGAUGGCGAAGGCAGCCUUCUGGCAUCAUACUGACACUGAGGUUCGAAAGCGUGGG